Molecule: ribosomal RNA, 709 nt
Filed under: Ophisaurus attenuatus
Lineage: Eukaryota; Metazoa; Chordata; Lepidosauria; Squamata; Anguidae
Description: 12S ribosomal RNA
Rfam family: Bacterial small subunit ribosomal RNA
Source: RNAcentral
UUUCGUGCCAGNCCANCGCGGUUAUACGAAAGGCCUAAAAUAAUGCCCACGGCGUAAAGAGUGACUAGAAAUACCCCAGCCUACUUAAAUAAAAUCGAAAUUUAGUUGUGAAACACCAAAAUCUAAAGAAUCCCGCACACUUAAGAAAGCAUGGACCUUUAACUCACUAAAACUAAGAAACAAACUAGGAUUAGAUACCCUACUAUGCUUAGUCCUAACCUCAGAUAUUAACAUUACCAGAUAUCCGCCAGAGAACUACAAGUGAAAAACUCGAAACUCAAAGGAUUUGGCGGUGCUCCACCCAACCUAGAGGAGCCUGUCCUGUAAUCGAUACCCCCCGAUCAACCCAACCACCUCUCGCCCAACACAGCCUAUAUACCGCCGUCGCCAGCCUAUCCCAUGAGGGACAAAAAAUAAGCACAAUAGUAACACCACUAAAACGUCAGGUCAAGGCGUAGCUAAUGGGGUGGAAGAGAUGGGCUACACUUUCUGCCAAAGAAAAUACGAACGGCCCUAUGAAAUCUGGCACCAGAAGGCGGAUUUAGCAGUAAAACAAGUAAGAGUACUUUUUUAAAAACAGCCCUGGAGCGCGCACACACCGCCCGUCACCCUCCUCAACAACCAUUUAACCAAAAAACUAUAAAAUCAUAAACUACUAGAUGAGGCAAGUCGUAACAUGGUAAGCGCACUGGAAAGUGUGCUUGGAAUA